This 962-nucleotide ribosomal RNA is filed under the name Bacillus siamensis. RNAcentral describes it as "bacterial SSU rRNA". It matches the Rfam family "Bacterial small subunit ribosomal RNA", at positions 31 to 972 of the family's 1533-position model. Lineage: Bacteria; Bacillati; Bacillota; Bacilli; Caryophanales; Bacillaceae. The record is from RNAcentral.
AAAAGUGGGGCAUCUAAGGUUAGUCUGCAAGUCGAGCGGACAGAUGGGAACUUGCUCCCUGAUGUUAGCGGCGGACGGGUGAGUAACACGUGGGUAACCUGCCUGUAAGACUGGGAUAACUCCGGGAAACCGGGGCUAAUACCGGAUGGUUGUUUGAACCGCAUGGUUCAGACAUAAAAGGUGGCUUCGGCUACCACUUACAGAUGGACCCGCGGCGCAUUAGCUAGUUGGUGAGGUAACGGCUCACCAAGGCGACGAUGCGUAGCCGACCUGAGAGGGUGAUCGGCCACACUGGGACUGAGACACGGCCCAGACUCCUACGGGAGGCAGCAGUAGGGAAUCUUCCGCAAUGGACGAAAGUCUGACGGAGCAACGCCGCGUGAGUGAUGAAGGUUUUCGGAUCGUAAAGCUCUGUUGUUAGGGAAGAACAAGUGCCGUUCAAAUAGGGCGGCACCUUGACGGUACCUAACCAGAAAGCCACGGCUAACUACGUGCCAGCAGCCGCGGUAAUACGUAGGUGGCAAGCGUUGUCCGGAAUUAUUGGGCGUAAAGGGCUCGCAGGCGGUUUCUUAAGUCUGAUGUGAAAGCCCCCGGCUCAACCGGGGAGGGUCAUUGGAAACUGGGGAACUUGAGUGCAGAAGAGGAGAGUGGAAUUCCACGUGUAGCGGUGAAAUGCGUAGAGAUGUGGAGGAACACCAGUGGCGAAGGCGACUCUCUGGUCUGUAACUGACGCUGAGGAGCGAAAGCGUGGGGAGCGAACAGGAUUAGAUACCCUGGUAGUCCACGCCGUAAACGAUGAGUGCUAAGUGUUAGGGGGUUUCCGCCCCUUACUGCUGCAGCUAACGCAUUAAGCUCUCCGCCUGGGGAGUACGGUCGCAAGACUGACACUCCAACGGAAUUGGAUUUGGGCUCGUCUCAUUUCCGUAGCAGCAUGUUGUUUCAUUUCUUAUACAUAUAUGUUU